GAACAUACUGGAUGAUGACCAUCUGGAUCACACACACCUACAUUAAGUCAGAACAGAACUGAAGAGUUGGAAGACAGUUUAAGGUCUGAUUUACUUCAAGCAAAGUUUGUUUCAUUCUUCGUUUGUGGGCAAAAAGAAGUUUGAAAAGGCUGAGCGACAGUAUAGUGUUUCAGAACUUUUCAACACACCCACACUGCUGGAUGCGAGGUGUAGAUUCAUGUAAAUAAUUAUGUUGCGCUGCUCGCGGAUAUCCCCAAAACACAACAACAAUGAAAUAAAGUGUAGGCAAUCUAGGUGUGAGACUGGCUCCAAUGGUACAAAUAUUAUAGACAAAAGAAUAAUGAUUAACAGCUGUUUCUUAGACAAGUGCCAUGUUUGCAAUACAAAAGAACCAAACCAUUUCCAUAAUCAGUCCUUUAUGAGAAGUGUGAAAGGCUCAUAGUCUGAAAGCUUUAGCAUGACGUGAAAAAAGUUUACUUUCAUUUAUUUCAUUAAACUGGAUAAACUGUUAAA
Long non-coding RNA from Carassius carassius (crucian carp), 513 nucleotides. RefSeq lists it as uncharacterized. The record is from RefSeq and is a predicted model, not a curated record. The transcript has 2 exons. Lineage: Eukaryota; Metazoa; Chordata; Actinopteri; Cypriniformes; Cyprinidae.